AGAGUUUGAUCCUGGCUCAGGAUGAACGCUAGCUGGAGGCUUAAUACAUGCAAGUCGAGCGGGAUUGGUAGCAAUACCAUGAGAGCGGCGCACGGGUGAGUAACGCGUACACGACCUACCUCUAACAGGGGGAUAGCCCUGGGAAACUGGGAUUAAUACCGCAUAUAAUUCUGAUAAAUAGAUGAUUGGAAUGAAAGUUCAGGCGGUUAGAGAUGGGUGUGCGUCUGAUUAGCUAGUUGGUAAGGUAACGGCUUACCAAGGCGAUGAUCAGUAGGGGGCGUGAGAGCGUGAUCCCCCACACGGGUACUGAGACACGGACCCGACUCCUACGGGAGGCAGCAGUAAGGAAUAUUGGUCAAUGGGCGAAAGCCUGAACCAGCCAUCCAGCGUGCAGGAAGAAGGCCCUACGGGUUGUAAACUGCUUUUGUCAGGGAAGAAACCCUUGGAUUCACUCCGAGGCUGACGGUACCUGAAGAAUAAGCACCGGCUAACUCCGUGCCAGCAGCCGCGGUAAUACGGAGGGUGCGAGCGUUAUCCGGAAUUACUGGGUUUAAAGGGUGCGUAGGCGGCUUGGUAAGUCAGGAGUGAAAGUUUGCGGCUCAACCGUAAAAUUGCUUUUGAUACUGCCAGGCUAGAAUCAGGAUGAGGUCAGCGGAAUGUGGCAUGUAGCGGUGAAAUGCAUAGAUAUGCCAUAGAACACCUAUUGCGAAGGCAGCUGGCUAGACCUGUAUUGACGCUGAGGCACGAAAGCGUGGGGAGCGAACAGGAUUAGAUACCCUGGUAGUCCACGCCCUAAACGAUGCUUACUCGACGUAUGGCGCUAGUCGUUGUGCGUCCAAGGGAAACCGUUAAGUAAGCCACCUGGGGAGUACGACCGCAAGGUUGAAACUCAAAGGAAUUGACGG
RNAcentral lists this ribosomal RNA (905 nucleotides) under uncultured bacterium. RNAcentral's name for it is "bacterial SSU rRNA". It matches the Rfam family "Bacterial small subunit ribosomal RNA", at positions 8 to 916 of the family's 1533-position model. The record is from RNAcentral.